GGAGUAAAAGUCGUAACAAGGUCUCCGUUGGUGAACCAGCGGAGGGAUCAUUACCGAGUUAUCAACUCCCAAACCCCUGUGAACAUACCACAACGUUGCCUCGGCGGGACCGCCCCGGCGCCCCUAGCGGCCCGGAACCAGGCGCCCGCCGGAGGACCCAAACUCUUGCUUUGAACAGUGGCAUACUCUCUGAGUCUCAAAAACAAAAAUAAAUUAAAACUUUCAACAACGGAUCUCUUGGCUCUG
RNAcentral lists this unclassified non-coding RNA (246 nucleotides) under plant metagenome. RNAcentral's name for it is "partial contains small subunit ribosomal RNA, internal transcribed spacer 1, and 5.8S ribosomal RNA". The stretch from base 1 to 53 matches the Rfam family "Eukaryotic small subunit ribosomal RNA", at positions 1779 to 1831 of the family's 1831-position model. The record is from RNAcentral.